ACUGGACUGAAAUCAUGCCAGAGAGAGUGUAAGGGGGGAGAGAGUGAGAGCGUGAGUGUGUCCGAGCCUAAGAGAUUACUAUGCCCACCCUUUCAUACAGCCAUUUCUUUCAUUAUAAUAGGUCUUUUCAUCAAAAUGACACAGAACCUUUAAAUUUGGACAGCGUACUCGCAUACAGUAGAGACGGCAGCCACUUCAAACCAAUUCCAAACCUGCUUCUCAGAAAUAAAACAAACUUGCUUCAUUGGCACACAUAAAUUGUUUACGACUCAUUAAAAAACAAAAUUGCAUAUCACACAGUUGGCAGCUGAGUCCAUGCGGGUGGAAAGGGGCAUUCACUCAUCUCUUUGUAUGCUGGCAGUACCCAACUGAAGUUUAGCAGUAGGCAGUAGCCGAGAUUUUUUGUGAAGCCAGACGAUGCAUGAGCUUUCUUCAUGGCAUAGUUGCUGCCAUCUACUGUGCUCCUGUGGGUAGUGCUCCCAAGCAAGAGAGGUUGCAGUGUUUAAACGUCACUUGCCAGCAUACUGAAUCACAGCCAGUGUAAAUGAAACAAUGCAUCAGCCAGACCAUUAACCUUUGCUCGUACAUACUCGGCUCUGAAGUGGAUAUUAUUUAUCAAGCGGUGUGCAGGGAAGCAUCCUUAGCAGACCUGAUUAAUAUGUCCAAUGGCACUACACUAAGUAGUGUCUGGCUUCAGAACAUUUGCUAUUUGAUAUCUGAGAUACGUACAGCAUGUUCACAGCAAAUUCUCCAACUGAAAACAGCAGAGUUCAAACCAAGUCAAUUAAUUCACAGAGUGAAUGGAUUCGAGCCCAGAAUCUCAUGC
Molecule: long non-coding RNA, 826 nt
Organism: Sceloporus undulatus (fence lizard)
Lineage: Eukaryota; Metazoa; Chordata; Lepidosauria; Squamata; Phrynosomatidae
Exons: 4
Source: RefSeq, a predicted model, not a curated record